UGAUUAGAGAAUGUUCAUAAUCCAUCUCUUUCAAUCAUUAGGUUCAUUCGCUACCUUUUCACUGGUAGGUUUUAGAACAUGCGCAUUGAGUUCUAGAAAUUCUAUUGAGUCAUCAUGGUUUGUUCAGAACUAGGAACUGAGAAGUUCUUGUUCUGAAAGUUUGUCUUUGUUUGGUUCUCAAAAUGUUUUAGCUUACUACUCC
RNAcentral lists this long non-coding RNA (202 nucleotides) under Spirodela polyrhiza (greater duckweed). Its description in RNAcentral is "long non-coding RNA (SPOL_LNC000360)". Lineage: Eukaryota; Viridiplantae; Streptophyta; Magnoliopsida; Alismatales; Araceae. The record is from RNAcentral.